UACGGAGGAUGCGAGCGUUAUCCGGAUUUAUUGGGUUUAAAGGGUGCGUAGGCGGAUCGUUAAGUCAGUGGUCAAAUUGAGGGGCUCAACCCCUUCCCGCCAUUGAAACUGGCGAUCUUGAGUGGAAGAGAAGUACGCGGAAUGCGUGGUGUAGCGGUGAAAUGCAUAGAUAUCACGCAGAACCCCGAUUGCGAAGGCAGCAUGCCGGCUUCCUACUGACGCUGAAGCACGAAAGCGUGGGGAUCGAACGGG
RNAcentral lists this ribosomal RNA (252 nucleotides) under uncultured bacterium. Its description in RNAcentral is "partial 16S ribosomal RNA". It matches the Rfam family "Bacterial small subunit ribosomal RNA", at positions 524 to 776 of the family's 1533-position model. The record is from RNAcentral.